RNAcentral lists this long non-coding RNA (625 nucleotides) under Anser brachyrhynchus (Pink-footed goose). RNAcentral's name for it is "lncRNA (ENSABRG00000019958.1)". The record is from RNAcentral. Lineage: Eukaryota; Metazoa; Chordata; Aves; Anseriformes; Anatidae.
GUUCUGCAGUCAGUAGCUUGUCUCUCCUAACUUUUCUUGCUUUCACCGGAGACAGCACUAUGCAAUGCCUCACCUGCGUUUCACUUUCAAGUCUGGUGUGAUGUGGCCUAAUACCCUGUGAAGACUUUCCUUCCUGUGGAAAGACAUCCUUCAUCUUUAGCAGAUUUUGGAUCAAGACUCAGUUCCAGCUUUAGAUUGUCACAGAUGAGAGUUUGGAAGCCUUGUAUUUCUGCUGUCUGGAUAGAGAUUCCAAUCUUCGCCAUGCCAUGUCAUGCCAGAGUUUUGUGUAUGUUUGUGUACGUGUGUACAAGUACAUAAGCACUGACAUACUUGCUGGCAUUUUCAAAAGCGAAUCUGGAGUGCUGGCAGUCAGCUUCACUCUCCGCUCAAGUUUGGAUAUGGAUGAAAUUGAGCAGCUGAACUUCAUCUUUGGCAAUACUGAGACCAUGAAGUCAAUAUAUGAAGACAAAUGGGCAGGAAAGAACAUACACCAGCACUAAGAGUAAACUAUCACAAACAUCUAUAAUGCAAAUGGCAAAUGAGUGCAAAAUACAAAAAGGAAUUAUUUACUUUUAAGGCAAUUUCACUUCAGACAGUUAAUCUAAAACUGUGUUCCAGAAAGUCC